GAAUAUUGGGCAAUGGAGGCAACUCUGACCCAGCCAUGCCGCGUGCAGGAAGACGGCCCUAUGGGUUGUAAACUGCUUUUGUACGGGAAGAAACACUCCUACGUGUAGGAGCUUGACGGUACCGUAAGAAUAAGGCUCGGCUAACUCCGUGCCCGCAGCCGCGGUAAUACGGAGGAUCCAAGCGUUAUCCGGAAUCAUUGGGUUUAAAGGGUCCGUAGGCGGCCUUAUAAGUCAGUGGUGAAAUCUCCUAGCUCAACUAGGAAACUGCCAUUGAUACUGUAGGGCUUGAAUUUUUGUGAAGUAACUAGAAUAUGUAGUGUAGCGGUGAAAUGCUUAGAUAUUACAUGGAAUACCAAUUGCGAAGGCAGGUUACUAACAAACGAUUGACGCUGAUGGACGAAAGCGUGGGGAGCGAACAGG
RNAcentral lists this ribosomal RNA (420 nucleotides) under uncultured bacterium. RNAcentral's name for it is "bacterial SSU rRNA". It matches the Rfam family "Bacterial small subunit ribosomal RNA", at positions 359 to 776 of the family's 1533-position model. The record is from RNAcentral.